CGGACGGAUCCAGGCAGAGGCAGCGGUGGCUCAGGCUCCAGGCGACGGUGGAGGCAGCUCGAGCUCGGACAUCCAGGAGGCGGCGGCGGCGACUCUGCGGAUCCGGGGCGCACAGGCCUGGCGAGCGCCGGCGCGGCGCGCCCUCGCUGCCCGGCUAGCGCCCCCUCCCAGGUCGCGUGGAGCCCGCGGUGACCCCGCUCAAGUUGCUGGGGCCUGCCUUGCGCCGGCGCGGGCGCGCCCAGCUAGCGCAGCAGCCGAGCUAGCGACCAACAAGUGAUGGAUUUGUCCAAUCUUGAAGAGAACCCUAGGUCGAAUCGUAGAGAGAUAAAUCUAGUUGUUAGAGUACGGUCGUUUUUCAAUUUACCUGAUGGUGGACCAAAGUCAUGGAUGCAGGGCAAAACAUUGCUAACUCAAAUUGUUGACAUACAUGCCUAUGGUCUGCAGCAUUUGGUUGAUUUCAUUACCGGGCAUUACAUGUGGGGAUGAAAGAGUACAUAACUUUUUGGCGUGAGUUGGAGACCGAUUCUAUUGAGAUAAAAUUAGAUGAGGAUAUGCUUGAGUGGUUUUAGUGCAAUCUUAAUAAGGGAGUAGCCCAAAUCAAUGCCCAGGUAAAUGAGUUUGUAGGACCACUGCAAUUUUCACCAACUAAACGUAGGUUUCACCCUUCUCUUAGAAAUAAAGUACAUGCAAAUGAGAGAGGCACUAGUGAGUCACAGACCAAUGAGAGAUCCCCAAAUGAGAGAGUGACAUCCACCACCAAGAAAAAAAGAGCCACCAAAGCCAAAAGCAAAGGUGCACAUGAUGAUGAAUGUGUAGGAGUUGAUGAGGAGGGCACGCAUUCUGACACUGAUUCUCUUGUGGCACCGAGUGAUAGCAGCUAUGACAGUGAUUUGGCUGCAUCAUCUGACUGUGCUGAUGGUUGCUCUGAUCCAGAAUUUGACCCUGAUGGUGAAGUAUUUGAUGAUGAUGACGAAUAUGAUCCUCCUCUUUUUCAUAUGAUGUCGAUGAUCCAUGUAUUGAUGUAGGUAUUGCGUUCCCAGAUGUGGAUCAGUGCAAAUUUGCAGUUACCCAUCAUGCUAUCUUGAAUGAUCAUGCCUAUCAGAUUGCGAAAAAGGAUAGACGAAGGUUUAGAGCCAUAUGCAAGAGGGCCAAAGAAGGUUGCAAUUGGAAGUUUUUUGCAUCUACGAGCAAGAAGUACCUUGGCUGCAAGGUUAAGAUGAGUGGACCAAAGCAUACAUGUGGUUCAUUCAAUAAUUGCGGUAAAACGAUGGUCUCCAAUAAAUGGGUAGCCGGAAGAGUGGUUGACUUGUUGCGGGACGACCCUGAAAUGGGACCAAGGGAGUUGCAAGAUAGGCUAAAAAAGAAGUACUCCAUUGAAAUUCCAUAUGACAGAGUUGUGAGAGGCAAGAUGAGAGCAACGGACACCGUAUAUGGGAAGUGGGCUGACAGUUAUGACUUGCUACCCACCUAUCAAACUAAGCUUUUGAGAGUGGUACCUGGCAGUAUUGUUGAGAUAGACACCGAAAAAGAUGACAAUGGCUAUGUGUGUUUCAGCAGGUCCUUUGUUGCUCUUAAAUCAUGCAUUGAUAGGUUUUUGCAAUGAUGUAGGCCUUAUAUUGCCAUGGAUUCCACACAUUUGACAGGGAGAUCUAGGGGUCAGUUAGCAGCAGCUGUUGCAGUGGAUGGUGAGAAUAGGCUAUUUCCAGUUGCUUAUGGAGUGACUGAGACUGAGUCCAAGGAAUGUUGGACUUGGUUUGCCAAUAACAUAGUUACUGUACUUGUUGACUGAACCAUUUUUUUCUUUCUUGUAAAGCGUGAGUGAAAGGGGAAGAGAAAGAGGAAGUGGAAGUACAAGUGUAAGUGCAAGUGCAGCAGGCACAGAAGGUGCUGAAUCAAGAAGGGGAAGGGGGAGUGCAAGUGCAAGUGCCGGUGAAACAGAAACAGAAGAUGCUGGAUCCGGAAGGGGAAGGGGAAGAGGAAGGGGAAGGGGAAGGGGAAGGGGAAGGGCCAAUACAAGUGAAACAGGAACAAGAGAUGCUGGAAGAGUUGGAACAAGAGGAAAAGGGAGAUCCAGAAGCUUGGCUGCAUUGUUAGGAAUAGAUGCAUAAAUUUAUUCUCAAUGAGCAUGUAAUACCUCUCUGGUAGUUGAUGCUUUUGGUGCAUAUGCAUGUGGAUGCCAUCUGGUGUUGUACUGUUGCUAUUGCUGCACCUAUGAUGUUGCUUUUGCUGCACCUAUGAUGGAUCUUAUUUAUCUAUGCAUGUGAUCCAGACUUUAUAAAUGCAAAUUAUGUUAUGAUGCUA
Long non-coding RNA from Panicum virgatum (switchgrass), 2301 nucleotides. RefSeq lists it as uncharacterized. The record is from RefSeq and is a predicted model, not a curated record. Lineage: Eukaryota; Viridiplantae; Streptophyta; Magnoliopsida; Poales; Poaceae. The transcript has 3 exons.